RNAcentral lists this unclassified non-coding RNA (174 nucleotides) under uncultured fungus. Its description in RNAcentral is "sequence contains ITS1, 5.8S rRNA gene". The record is from RNAcentral. Lineage: Eukaryota; Fungi.
CCGAGUGAGGGCCCUCUGGGUCCAACCUCCCACCCGUGUUUAAUCGUACCUUGUUGCUUCGGCGGGCCCGCCUCACGGCCGCCGGGGGGCUUGCCCCCCUGGCCCGCGCCCGCCGAAGACACCAAUGAACGCUGUCUGAAGCUUGCAGUCUGAGCAGAUUUAGUAAAAUCGUUA